CAUGCAAGUCGAACGGUAACAUAAGUGCUUGCACUUGAUGACGAGUGGCGGACGGGUGAGUAAUGUAUGGGGAUCUGCCGAAUGGAAGGGGACAACAGUUGGAAACGACUGCUAAUACCGUAUAAUGUCGCGAGACCAAAGCAUGGGACUUUCGGGCCAUGCGCCAUUUGAUGAACCCAUAUGGGAUUAGCUAGUAGGUGGGGUAAAGGCUCACCUAGGCGACGAUCUCUAGCUGGUCUGAGAGGAUGACCAGCCACACUGGAACUGAGACACGGUCCAGACUCCUACGGGAGGCAGCAGUGGGGAAUAUUGCACAAUGGGGGGAACCCUGAUGCAGCCAUGCCGCGUGUAUGAAGAAGGCCUUCGGGUUGUAAAGUACUUUCGGUGAUGAGGAAGGCGGUGUAUCUAAUAGGUGCAUCGAUUGACGUUAAUCACAGAAGAAGCACCGGCUAACUCCGUGCCAGCAGCCGCGGUAAUACGGAGGGUGCGAGCGUUAAUCGGAAUGACUGGGCGUAAAGGGCAUGUAGGCGGAUAGUUAAGUUAGGUGUGAAAUCCCUGGGCUCAACCUAGGAAUUGCAUUUAAAACUGGUUAUCUGGAGUAUUGUAGAGGAAGGUGGAAUUCCACGUGUAGCGGUGAAAUGCGUAGAGAUGUGGAGGAAUACCGGUGGCGAAGGCGGCCUUCUGGACAGAUACUGACGCUGAGAUGCGAAAGCGUGGGGAGCAAACAGGAUUAGAUACCCUGGUAGUCCACGCUGUAAACGAUGUCGAUUUGGAGUUUGUUGCCUAGAGUGAUGGGCUCCGAAGCUAACGCGAUAAAUCGACCGCCUGGGGAGUACGGCCGCAAGGUUAAAACUCAAAUGAAUUGACGGGGGCCCGCACAAGCGGUGGAGCAUGUGGUUAAUUCGAUGCACGCGAAGACCUUACCUGGUCUGACUCCCAGAUCUUGUAAGUACGAGAGUGCUUCGGGACUGUGAACAGUGCUGCUGGC
Molecule: ribosomal RNA, 988 nt
Filed under: Gilliamella sp.
Lineage: Bacteria; Pseudomonadati; Pseudomonadota; Gammaproteobacteria; Orbales; Orbaceae
Description: bacterial SSU rRNA
Rfam family: Bacterial small subunit ribosomal RNA
Source: RNAcentral